UACGUAGGUGGCAAGCGUUGUCCGGAUUUACUGGGCGUAAAGAGCGCGCAGGCGGCUGGUCAAGUCCGAUGUGAAAUCUCCCGGCUUAACUGGGAAACUGCAUCGGAAACUGAUCGGCUUGAAGGUGGGAGAGGGUAGUGGAAUUCCCGGUGUAGUGGUGGAAUGCGUAGAUAUCGGGAGGAACACCAGUGGCGAAGGCGGUUGCCUGGAGCUUUGCUGACGCUGAGGCGCGAAAGCGUGGGGAGCGAUCCGG
RNAcentral lists this ribosomal RNA (253 nucleotides) under uncultured bacterium. RNAcentral describes it as "partial 16S ribosomal RNA". It matches the Rfam family "Bacterial small subunit ribosomal RNA", at positions 524 to 776 of the family's 1533-position model. The record is from RNAcentral.